CCUAUUCAUUUCAUUCCUAACUAAUUUUAAGUGAUGUUGAUGUUGCAGGACUGGAGACCAUGCUUUGAAAACCAAUGGUCUACUGGAUACCAAACAACUGAGUUGACUAGCCAAUUGUGCACUUCAUCAAUUUUCAUUCUGAGAAAAAAAUGGUGAAGGACUCCUUCAGAGUUUAUAAACCCAUUGCUUUAACCAUGCCACUACACAUUCAUUGACACCUUGCAUUGAAAAUCUGUCACAUCAAAGAUCCUAAACCUUCCAUGCAGCAUGUGGUGUUUAUGCUCCAGACAUAUCCCCUUGUCCAACCUCUGAGUUUACCUGCAGCUCUAUCUCAAUGGCUGAUGUCUCUUUGUGUCUUUGUCUAGGACUUUCUUCAGCUCACAAGAGUUUGCUCAGCCCACAAAGGGGUGGGAGAAAGGGACAGAUGCCCCUAAUUCUCAGGGACAUAUUUCAAACAAUGAAGAUAGGAAUAUGUGGAUAAAUACUCUAGCUUCUCUAUCCUGUGGUGGGACAAUUUUGGAGCUUCUUCCUUCAGCGUCCUUACAGCAUCCCUAGUGAGAUGGACCCCAGUUUCCUGCAGCAGAAACUUACUCAUUAACACAUUUUUAAAUUAACAUUUCUCCCUUCCCUCUCCACUUCCCCCACUUCCUGAUUUAUGCUUCCUAGGAUCACUUCCUUAAAAAACUACCUACAUCCCAAGUUCUUGCAUUAGGGUCAGCUUUGGGGCAACAAAAACUAGGCCACUAUAUCUCAAAAUUCUUCGCCAGAUUCAUGGAAGCAGCACCUGCUCUUGAUCAACUUUCAGUUCUACGCCCUGGGGUUUUAUUCAUGGGUCUUUGGGCUGGCUAACCCAAGUUGAGUGUAUUCAGUGGGUGUUAAUAAAUAAAUAAUAAAGAUUGUUGCUG
RNAcentral lists this long non-coding RNA (905 nucleotides) under Homo sapiens (human). RNAcentral's name for it is "HSALNT0179292". The record is from RNAcentral. Lineage: Eukaryota; Metazoa; Chordata; Mammalia; Primates; Hominidae.